This 507-nucleotide ribosomal RNA is filed under the name uncultured bacterium. Its description in RNAcentral is "bacterial SSU rRNA". It matches the Rfam family "Bacterial small subunit ribosomal RNA", at positions 8 to 518 of the family's 1533-position model. The record is from RNAcentral.
AGAGUUGAUCAUGGCUCAGGAUGAACGCUGGCGGCGUGCCUAACACAUGCAAGUCGAACGAGAACUCUAGGAUGAGACUUCGGUGGAUUCUUGGAAAUUCUAGUGGCGGACGGGUGAGUAACGCGUGGGUAACCUGCCCUUAAGAGGGGGAUAACAGAGAGAAAUUUCUGCUAAUACUCCAUAUGCUUACAGAGCUGCAUGGCUCAGUGAGGAAAUGAAUUUCGCUUAAGGAUGGACCCGCGUUUGAUUAGCCAGUUGGUGGGGUAACGGCCUACCAAAGCUACGAUCAAUAGCCGGCCUGAGAGGGUGAACGGCCACAUUGGGACUGAGACACGGCCCAAACUCCUACGGGAGGCAGCAGUGGGGAAUAUUGCACAAUGGAGGAAACUCCGAUGCAGCAACGCCGCGUGAGUGAAGAAGUAUUUCGGUAUGUAAAGCUCUAUCGAUGGGAAAUAUAAUGAAGGUACCCAAGUAAGAAGCCCCGGCUAACUACGUGCCAGCAGCCGC